GACGAACGCUGGCGGCGUGCUUAACACAUGCAAGUCGAACGGUGAAGGGGUCUGCUUUUGUGGGCCCUGGAUGAGUGGCGAACGGGUGAGUAACACGUGAGUAACCUGCCCCCUUCUUCUGGAUAACCGCAUGAAAGUGUGGCUAAUACGGGAUAUUCUGGGUCUGUCGCAUGAUGGGUCUGGGAAAGAUUGCGCCUUUGGGUGUUUUUGGUGGGGGAUGGGCUCGCGGCCUAUCAGCUUGUUGGUGGGGUGAUGGCCCACCAAGGCGGUGACGGGUAGCCGGCCUGAGAGGGUGGACGGUCACACUGGGACUGAGACACGGCCCAGACUCCUACGGGAGGCAGCAGUGGGGAAUAUUGCACAAUGGGCGCAAGCCUGAUGCAGCGACGCCGCGUGAGGGAUGGAGGCCUUCGGGUUGUAAACCUCUUUCGCCAGUGAAGCAGGCCUGCUCCUUGUGGGCGGGUUGACGGUAGCUGGAUAAGAAGCGCCGGCUAACUACGUG
RNAcentral lists this ribosomal RNA (502 nucleotides) under uncultured bacterium. RNAcentral describes it as "partial 16S ribosomal RNA". It matches the Rfam family "Bacterial small subunit ribosomal RNA", at positions 28 to 507 of the family's 1533-position model. The record is from RNAcentral.